This 253-nucleotide ribosomal RNA is filed under the name uncultured bacterium. Its description in RNAcentral is "partial 16S ribosomal RNA". It matches the Rfam family "Bacterial small subunit ribosomal RNA", at positions 524 to 776 of the family's 1533-position model. The record is from RNAcentral.
UACGUAGGGGGCAAGCGUUGUCCGGAAUUAUUGGGCGUAAAGAGCGUGUAGGCGGCUUGAUAGGUCAGUUGUGAAAACUCGAGGCUCAACCUCGAGACGUCGAUGGAAACCAUCUGGCUAGAGUCCGGAAGAGGAGAGUGGAAUUCCUGGUGUAGCGGUGAAAUGCGCAGAUAUCAGGAAGAACACCAGUGGCGAAGGCGGCUCUCUGGUACGUGACUGACGCUGAGACGCGAAAGCGUGGGGAGCAAACAGG